CCUCCACCUGGCAGCUGCUGCACACCUUGGAGUCCCCAGGGGCUGCUGAAGGCUAGCUCCAAAAUGCUGCGGGAUCCUAAAGAAAUGCAAAGUGAGUCAUUCGAUCGCCAGGCAACAUUGAAUCCCAACCUCGGUCCAGCUGGAGUUCAGGAUGUCAAGUUUGGCAGAGCCUUACCUGCAGAGCUGUCUCCUUAUCUGCUUUUUGAGACAGCAUCUCAAGUAGCAGGACAGCCUGGAACUCACUAUAUAGCUGAAGAGGACCCUGAACUCCGACGUGCUGGGAUGAUGGGCAUGCGUCAUAGCCAGCUUGUCUUUAGCAAGGGAUUCUUAGUGGAGACUGGCACAGCAGCUCGAAAAUGCUUUGUUGAAUUCACACAGGAAACAACUACAGACAGAAGAGGGAAAAAGAAUGGGAGGCACUGGGGUGGGGGCACCAGAUAAUAACCUUCUGGAGUCAAGCUACCCAGUGCUGUGGCUCUCCCCCAUUAGCUGAGUGAAGAAGGAUGAGGAUGUUA
Mesocricetus auratus (golden hamster) is the source of this 515-nucleotide long non-coding RNA. RefSeq lists it as uncharacterized. The transcript has 2 exons. The record is from RefSeq and is a predicted model, not a curated record. NCBI's taxonomy places the organism in Eukaryota, Metazoa, Chordata, Mammalia, Rodentia, Cricetidae.